AUCGGUAAGUGGCAUGGGUAAGUGGCAGGGUAUAACUUAAUGUUCCAUACUUGUUUUUUAUGUAGGUAAAAAUGGACAAGAUUAACAAAAUUGCUGAUGAUAUAAUUGCUGUAUCAUAUCAAAUAAAUGGAUGCUUUGGAAAGGUAUGAAGAUCAAAUGAUGAACAUGGGAGGUUUAUGAACUCAUCAACAGACAAGAUUAGAAAGCUAGGGAAUGAAGUUAGGAAAGAAGCCAUGAACCUGAAUAACGAACUUUCAAACCUAAAGAAGACAAUGGCAGAAAAUGAAAAAAAAAUUAGAACUGAACUCUGCAGUUUGAAGAAAGAAAAAUUUGACAUGAAGAGAAAAUGUGAAAGAUAUGAAAGAGAGCAAGAAUUUGAACUGGAAAUGUCACUCUUGGAUGACUCAAUAGAAGAAA
This 417-nucleotide long non-coding RNA is filed under the name Mytilus galloprovincialis (Mediterranean mussel). Lineage: Eukaryota; Metazoa; Mollusca; Bivalvia; Mytilida; Mytilidae. The record is from RNAcentral.